Molecule: ribosomal RNA, 460 nt
Filed under: uncultured bacterium
Lineage: Bacteria
Description: partial 16S ribosomal RNA
Rfam family: Bacterial small subunit ribosomal RNA
Source: RNAcentral
CCUACGGGUGGCAGCAGUGAGGAAUAUUGGUCAAUGGACGAGACUCUGAACCAGCCAAGUAGCGUGAAGGAUGACUGCCCUAUGGGUUGUAAACUUCUUUUAUAAAGGAAUAAAACGAGGCACGUGUGCCUUUUUGCAUGUACCUUAUGAAUAAGGAUCGGCUAACUCCGUGCCAGCAGCCGCGGUAAUACGGAGGGUCCGGGCGUUAUCCGGAUUUAUUGGGUUUAAAGGGAGCGUAGAUGGCUUGUUAAGUCAGUUGUGAAAGUGUGCGGCUCAACCGUGAAAUUGCAAUUGAUACUGGCAGGCUUGAGUGCAGUUGAGGUAGGCGGAAUUCGUGGUGUAGCGGUGAAAUGCGUAGAUAUCACGAAGAACCCCGAUGGCGAAGGCAGCUUACUGAACUGUGACUGACAUUGAGGCUCGAAAGUGUGGGUAUCAAACAGGAUUAGAUACCCUUGUAGUC